GACGAACGCUGGCGGCGUGCUUAACACAUGCAAGUCGAGCGGUAAGGCCCUUUCGGGGGUACACGAGCGGCGAACGGGUGAGUAACACGUGGGUGACCUGCCCUCAGCUCUGGGAUAAGCCUGGGAAACUGGGUCUAAUACUGGAUAUGACUCCACGGUGCAUGUCGUGGGGUGGAAAGCCUUGUGCGGCUGAGGAUGGGCCCGCGGCCUAUCAGCUAGUUGGCGAGGUAACGGCUCACCAAGGCGACGACGGUACCGGGCGUGAGAGCGUGACCCGGCACAUCGGAACUGAGACACGGUCCGGACACCUACGGGUGGCUGCAGCAACGAAUAUUCCGCAAUGGGCGCAAGCCUGACGGAGCGACGCCGCGUGUAGGAU
Molecule: ribosomal RNA, 379 nt
Filed under: uncultured bacterium
Lineage: Bacteria
Description: bacterial SSU rRNA
Rfam family: Bacterial small subunit ribosomal RNA
Source: RNAcentral